Molecule: ribosomal RNA, 607 nt
Filed under: uncultured bacterium
Lineage: Bacteria
Description: bacterial SSU rRNA
Rfam family: Bacterial small subunit ribosomal RNA (bases 1-521)
Source: RNAcentral
CCUACGGGAGGCAGCAGUGGGGAAUCUUGCGCAAUGGGCGAAAGCCUGACGCAGCAACGCCGCGUGCGGGAUGAAGGCCUUCGGGCUGUAAACCGCUUUCAGCAGGAACGAAAAUGACGGUACCUGCAGAAGAAGGAGCGGCCAACUACGUGCCAGCAGCCGCGGUGACACGUAGGCUCCAAGCGUUGUCCGGAUUUAUUGGGCGUAAAGAGCUCGUAGGCGGUCCAAUAAGUCGGGUGUGAAAACUCUGGGCUCAACCCGGAGACGCCAUCCGAUACUGUUAUGACUUGAGUUCAGGAGGGGAGCGGGGAAUUCCUAGUGUAGCGGUGAAAUGCGCAGAUAUUAGGAGGAACACCGGUGGCGAAGGCGCCGCUCUGGACUGAAACUGACGCUGAGGAGCGAAAGCAUGGGUAGCAAACAGGAUUAGAUACCCUGGUAGUCCAUGCCGUAAACGGUGGGCACUAGGUGCGGGUUUCAACUACGAAAUCCGCGCCGUCGCUAACGCAUUAAGUCGCCCCGCCGUCGGGUAGGUACGGUCGCGACGACGUAAACUACAAUAGAGUAGACGGCGUGAGACGUGCCGACGGACGACGACGAGGGAGGUAGG